RNAcentral lists this transfer RNA (82 nucleotides) under Ixodes scapularis (black-legged tick). RNAcentral describes it as "tRNA-Phe". It matches the Rfam family "tRNA". Rfam says of the family: Transfer RNA (tRNA) molecules are approximately 80 nucleotides in length. Their secondary structure includes four short double-helical elements and three loops (D, anti-codon, and T loops). Further hydrogen bonds mediate the characteristic L-shaped molecular structure. tRNAs have two regions of fundamental functional importance: the anti-codon, which is responsible for specific mRNA codon recognition, and the 3' end, to which the tRNAs corresponding amino acid is attached (by aminoacyl-tRNA synthetases). tRNAs cope with the degeneracy of the genetic code in two manners: having more than one tRNA (with a specific anti-codon) for a particular amino acid; and 'wobble' base-pairing, i.e. permitting non-standard base-pairing at the 3rd anti-codon position. Lineage: Eukaryota; Metazoa; Arthropoda; Arachnida; Ixodida; Ixodidae. The record is from RNAcentral.
ACAGUCGUGGCCGAGUGGUUAAGGCGAUAGACUAAAAAUCCAUCCGGGUCUCCCCGCACAGGUUCAAAUCCUGUCGACUGCG